CGCGGUGAGUGGUCGCUGUCCGGCAGGGCAGAGGAAAGUCGAGACACGCACACCGCAAGGUGUAGUAUGGUGCCCGGCGCAAGCCGGGGCGGGGCGACCCGACGACGGCAAAAGAAACUCCCGCAGUUUCCAGUAGCCAUAAAGUGCCACAGAAACCAGGGCACCGGGCGACCGGUGCGUGCAAGGGUAAACUCCACCAGCGUGCAACCCAAAUAGGCGGGUUUCUUGUGGACCCGCGGGUAGGGGCGCUCCCUUUACGGGAGAGGAAGGGUGCAAAUCCUUCUUAGAAAGAUGACUGCUUGCAAAACAGAAUCUCGCUUACAGCC
RNAcentral lists this RNase P RNA (326 nucleotides) under Desulfotomaculum copahuensis. Its description in RNAcentral is "Bacterial RNase P class B". It matches the Rfam family "Bacterial RNase P class B". Rfam says of the family: Ribonuclease P (RNase P) is a ubiquitous endoribonuclease, found in archaea, bacteria and eukarya as well as chloroplasts and mitochondria. Its best characterised activity is the generation of mature 5'-ends of tRNAs by cleaving the 5'-leader elements of precursor-tRNAs. Cellular RNase Ps are ribonucleoproteins. The record is from Rfam by way of RNAcentral. Lineage: Bacteria; Bacillati; Bacillota; Clostridia; Eubacteriales; Desulfotomaculaceae.